GAGUUUGAUCAUGGCUCAGGACGAACGCUGGCGGCGUGCUUAACACAUGCAAGUCGAACGAUGAAGCCUAGCUUGCUAGGUGGAUUAGUGGCGAACGGGUGAGUAAUACGUGAGUGACCUACCUUUGACUCUGGGAUAAGCCUGGGAAACUGGGUCUAAUACCGGAUACGACCAAUCUCCGCAUGGGGUGUUGGUGGAAAGCGUUAUGGAGUGGUUUUAGAUGGGCUCACGGCCUAUCAGCUUGUUGGUGAGGUAAUGGCUUACCAAGGCGACGACGGGUAGCCGGCCUGAGAGGGUGACCGGCCACACUGGGACUGAGACACGGCCCAGACUCCUACGGGAGGCAGCAGUGGGGAAUAUUGCACAAUGGGCGCAAGCCUGAUGCAGCGACGCCGCGUGAGGGAUGACGGCCUUCGGGUUGUAAACCUCUGUUAGCAUCGAAGAAGCGAAAGUGACGGUAGGUGCAGAGAAAGCGCCGGCUAACUACGUGCCAGCAGCCGCGGUA
This 505-nucleotide ribosomal RNA is filed under the name uncultured bacterium. Its description in RNAcentral is "bacterial SSU rRNA". It matches the Rfam family "Bacterial small subunit ribosomal RNA", at positions 9 to 522 of the family's 1533-position model. The record is from RNAcentral.